AAAGUUUCAGAUACAAGAGAUGUUAAAUGGAAACUGGCAAGGGGAAUAUGCAUCACAGGCAGUUCCUUGAGGGCAAAAACAUCAAAUUUGCUGGUGGUAUAUCCUCCUAGAUCUUUGUAUCCUGAACAGGUUACCCCAAUCCGUGCUCUCCAGAUCAGUAGUGAUUUAGCUGUUUGUCCUUCGGGCAUGUUUGCACAUUCAUACUCAUCUACAUGCUGCAGUUUGUGAGUGCCGUGCAACAGUUCCUUUCUUUGUUCAACACCACUUAAAUCCAUAGUUUAAGUGGAGUAGGGAUAUCUCCCCCAGUA
Molecule: long non-coding RNA, 308 nt
Organism: Carya illinoinensis
Lineage: Eukaryota; Viridiplantae; Streptophyta; Magnoliopsida; Fagales; Juglandaceae
Exons: 3
Source: RefSeq, a predicted model, not a curated record